GCCGUAAGAUACUUUGUUCUCGCUGAGAGUUCCGAUAAUCAUCUGGCGCAUAUCCCUGCUGGCAUCGCCGCGCACCGCUAACAGCGCCUGGAUAUGCUCCUCCCUACAAAGAUCGUAAAUCAUUCCGCAUUCAGUACUUGCAGAAAAUGAUUUAUGUGUUGAAUUUAGCUAAAGUGGUGGAGAAGCAAAUCUGUGAACUCCGCCAUAUGUAACCUGCCAGGCAACGCAUCCAACAAUGGACUGGAAUCAUCUGAUACUACGUAGUGACUCGAGAAGAAGAAGACUUGCAAAUGGGAGUACAGACAAAAUGCUUACAUACCUAAUGUCAGGGUAUUUGGAGACCAAGAUUGUGUCCACCGCAUGAGAGCCUGUCAGCCAUUUUCUGGUGAGAAGCUCAUUGAGGUGAUGCUGGAAAUGACAAGAAAAUGCUGAUAUCAAGGCAAUUGGAUGCACGGUCCAAGAAGACUUCAUCUAAGAGGAAUUGACAUCCCUCCUUGGCCACCUCGUUGAGUGUCCUCUCUAUGAUGGCAUCACUGUCAGACGGCCCAGACAACUGAGAGUAUUUUCUCUUUAGACUAUUGAUGGACUCUCUAAAUGACAUAUUGGACAUAUGUUAAUCAUGAAUAACCUGAUUUGACAGAUUCAUCUGGAAAUGAGUCAAUGAAAACUAGGGCUGCACAAUUAAUUGCAUUUUAAUCGUGAUCAUGAUUUUGGAUGCCAAGAUUAAAUGUUUGUUGGUGACUAUUACGUGUAAAAUGCAGUCCCUGUUGCUGAUCAAAUCAAGCACUUUUUCAACCAGCAGUCAGCCAAAAAACUGAGUGUGCGUUAAUCAUUAAAGCGGAAGUUCAGAAUUUUUUACACUAGGCUUAAUCUUCAAGUUAGCGGGAGUUAAAUUAGUUGGUUAAGUGGAUUUCAACAAAUUCUGUGCAGUUUGUUAGUUAUUCAUUAAUUUCAGGGCUCCGGAGGUGCUAAGCUAGAGCGAGUAAAUGGUCCCUUCCUAGCAUGCCAAUAAAAAAACGAUACUAACAAAUCUAACAUAGUCAAAUAAAUUCAAAAUGCAAAUCGUUGUUUAAAAUACCCAUGCAGCCAAAACAAUGUCACACCAAACUGCCGUAAUUAAUUUAUUUCUGCGGGAGUAUUUUUUUAGAUGCGUAAUGUGACCACAAUAGAAAGGAGUGCUUUGGCCACUCGUGCUCAUGCUGAAUUCGAGGAAGGUGGGAAGUCAGAAUUAUCACACUCGGAUGGUAUCAGGUGCGACCUCAAAACAUUCCAAGCGUUUUUCAUUUUUGCCAUCAAAAGCCAUGUUGACCUCCAGAAAACAUGGCUUCUCGUAAGCGAUCAAAUAGUGUAGGAAAAACGAGGGCUAAGAUAAAUAGACCACACUGUAAACUGCCUUCUUUAGUUUUACUAUUGACUGUCUGUUUUUCGACAGGCAGCGCGUUUUGUCGAGUCAGGUCUGAUUGAAGCAACUCUUGAAGUCGGGGUAAUUUUUUUUGUCCUGACUUCACGACUAGGGCCCCCCAGUUCGAGUGGCGUUCCAAUGAUAUUUAUCCGGGUCGGAGGUUGGAAAACUCCGAUUUGCCACAUUCCUCAAAUGCAGCAUUAGUCUACAGCAGUGGUGUCCAAACUAUUCCACAUAGGGCCGCAGUGGGUGCUGGAUUUCAUUCCUACACAACAAGAUGACAUCUUUUCACCAAUCUGGUGUCUCACAAGUCUAAUCAGUUCAUUGCAGUCAGGUGCUGCUUGUUUUAGCACAAACUUCAUUGGUUAAACUGUCUGUGCUCGAUUGGUAGGAACAAAAACAAGGACCAACAGCGGCCCUUGAGGGCAGGUUUGGACACCCAUGAUCUUGUCUUGACUGAAGAACGGCAACAUAGUGAAACGUGCAUUUAGAGGCUGUGGAAACAGACCGAAGAAAUAGGCAAAUGGGUUUCCACAAAUUCCCUAUGAAGAACAAGGGACAAUAAAAACUGGACACUUGCUGCUGGCUAUGAUAUAAACACACCGGUGGAAUAAAUAUUACUCUGCUCUGCAGCCUGUUACCAACAGAGCAACUGGAUCAUACUGCACUUAUUGACAUGCAAUGGCAAGUUUUAAUAACAUCAUCCUGAAAACAUAGCCAACACUAUUGAUUGCUUGGGUCAUCGGUGAUUUUCAUGAGCGCAUAUGUUGUUUUUUUAUUGGCAUGCUAGGACGGGCUCAUUCACUCGCGCUAGCCUAGCUACUCCGGAGCCCUGAAAUUAACAAAUAAAUCACCAACUGCAUGGAAUUUGUUGAAAUAAACUCCACCGAUGAAUUUAACCCCCGCUAACUUGAAGAUUAAGCCUAAUGCCAAUUUUUUAACUUCCCUUUAAGGUGCCUCAAUAAAAACUGAUCGCACCCUGCUGGCGGGAAAAGAAAGUACAGCAAAAAAAUUGGAAAUUAGCAUUAUGGUGAGGAGCUUCAAAAGGGAUCAGCAUCCAUUGUUAGGACUUAAUUUGGAUUCAGGGCAAGUCACUUUAAGAUAAUGAAAUAUUUAUUUAUUUAGCACCUG
Corythoichthys intestinalis (scribbled pipefish) is the source of this 2533-nucleotide long non-coding RNA. RefSeq lists it as uncharacterized. The transcript is spliced from 3 exons. Lineage: Eukaryota; Metazoa; Chordata; Actinopteri; Syngnathiformes; Syngnathidae. The record is from RefSeq and is a predicted model, not a curated record.